CGGCUAAUAUUUUCUGAAAUCCAAAAUACAAUAAAACCAAAGAUAAAAAGGCUAUGUUAUCUCCUGAAAUGACUUGUCUGUAGCAAUACUUCAGUAAAAAUGUUUUAAAUAAACUUUUCCUAUUUUCACAGAAAGAGUAGGAGAGAAAAUGAGGAUACUGGAAAAGACACCAGUAGAGGCAAGAAGGCAUAGAAGGUUAUGAGUCUUUGGAGUGUCAGUCUUUGCACUGCUGCCUUCAGGAUCAUUUCUGGAGGACUUUCUCCGUGCUGUGCACCUAGGGUUGAGAGCAGGGGUGAAACAGGACCAACAACCCUGCUUUCUUGCUGGCUGUCACCUGAGGACCAUUCCCAGCUUUUAAAAUUAAUCUGCAAAAUUUAUAUAUAUAUAUCGGGUUUCUUGACUCAUGAUUCCAUUUCUUCAUCUUCAAAGCCAGAGAAUACGGGUGGAGUCCCUCUCAAGGGAGACCCAAGUGAAGAUACGAAGCUGGUACUUUUUGGAAAAAUGAGAAGAGUUGUUGUGGUCAGAGGUUUGAGAUAAUUGAUUUGGAGAGAGAAAACUGAGUUGUACAGAAAAACAUCAUAGAGACAACUGGUAAGAUUUUUUUUUUUUUCCUGAAAUACAUGCAUGCCCGUAUUUUCACCCCAAUUAGGUUAUCUCUCUGAUAGCAAACAUGUGCUUAAUAACUCCUGUGUUUUUCUUAUAGCAGGUUUCUGAGUGUGUGAAAAAUACUAAUAGAUAAUUGUUGAUUUUACAAUAAAAUUGAUUCAUUAUGAAUUGCUGUUUUUUGUACUGGCUAUACAAUUGCUUAUGUAUCAGUAUCAUAUUUUCAUUAAGGAAAUGA
This 841-nucleotide long non-coding RNA is filed under the name Papio anubis (olive baboon). RNAcentral describes it as "lncRNA (ENSPANG00000049413.1)". Lineage: Eukaryota; Metazoa; Chordata; Mammalia; Primates; Cercopithecidae. The record is from RNAcentral.